GGGCCCGCACAAGCGGAGGAACAUGUGGUUUAAUUCGAUGAUACGCGAGGAACCUUACCUGGGCUUAAAUGGGGAACGACAGCUGCCGAAAGGUGGCCUUCUUCGGACGUUCUUCAAGGUGCUGCAUGGUUGUCGUCAGCUCGUGCCGUGAGGUGUCGGGUUAAGUCCCAUAACGAGCGCAACCCUUAUCGUUAGUUGCCAGCGGGUCAAGCCGGGGACUCUAGCGAGACUGCCACCGUAAGGUGUGAGGAAGGUGGGGAUGACGUCAAAUCAGCACGGCCCUUAUGUCCAGGGCUACACACGUGUUACAAUGGCCGGUACAAAGGGCAGCUACCCCGUGAGGGGAUGCUAAUCUCUAAAGCCGGUCUCAGUUCGGAUCGAAGUCUGCAACCCGACUUCGUGAAGCUGGAUUCGCUAGUAAUCGCGCAUCAGCCAUGGCGCGGUGAAUACGUUCCCGGGCCUU
RNAcentral lists this ribosomal RNA (463 nucleotides) under uncultured bacterium. RNAcentral's name for it is "bacterial SSU rRNA". It matches the Rfam family "Bacterial small subunit ribosomal RNA", at positions 917 to 1382 of the family's 1533-position model. The record is from RNAcentral.